This is a long non-coding RNA of Sander lucioperca (pikeperch), 591 nucleotides long. RefSeq lists it as uncharacterized. Lineage: Eukaryota; Metazoa; Chordata; Actinopteri; Perciformes; Percidae. The record is from RefSeq and is a predicted model, not a curated record. The transcript is spliced from 3 exons.
AAACUGCGUUACACACGCUGUUGUUUUGGUAGUGUAGCAGCUAGCUACUUCCUGAAACCGUCAAGUAAGGGAGCUCACAUGGAUCAAUACACGUAGGUUCGACUGUGGAAGUUGCAGGGAAGCAAAGGCGAUGGGAGGCGAAAUGUUUGAACCCAUACUGUUAAAUGGCAGGUGACUCUAUAGCUGGAACAAAAUCAUGAAAGGUGAAAGAAGCGGCUCCUCUGCGUUCAACUGCUUCCAGAUGUGGAAUGCCAGAGAUAAUCUGUCGUUUUGGAUCUAAAUGAGAGCGGGUGUCUUGCAGAAGCAAGGUCCAGAUCCGGCUCCCAGAUUGUAGACAUCCUACACGUGCGCAAGGGCAAACCUGAUGUCGUCAUGGGAGCAGCAUAAUGGGCGCUGAGACGACAGCAGUCCUAUAGAAAACAUCAUUCUCCAUCCCCGUGUUCAAGGGUAUGGCCUUUGUAAGCCAGUUGGGCCUAAUGGAGUAAUUGUAUUGCUCUGAUUUUCUCUGCAGUUGAAGAAUAAAAUGGCUCAAAAGCUACUUUAUUUACCUGCACAAAACAACUGUGUUGUUAGCAGUUAUGAUUAAAUACC